UAAUAAGAAAUUUAAGAGCAUAUGGUGGAUGCCUUGGUUCUAAGAGGCGAUGAAAGACGUAGCAUGGCUGCGAUAAGCUUCGGGGAGGUGCCUAGCAACCUUUGAUCCGGAGAUCUCUGAAUGGGGAAACCCCGCGACCGUAAUAGGUCGUGACCAACAUUUAAAGGUUGGAGUAGACCCAGGGAAGUGACACAUCUCAGUACCUGGAGGAAAAUAAAAAAAGCCGCCGAAUGGCGGAACAUUUCCUGAAUAGCGGCGAGCGAAACGGAAAUAGCCCAAACCUACUAUUUAUAGUAGGGGUUGUAAGGCAGAGACGUCGUAUUUAUACGAGAGGAGUUACAAAAUGUAAUGUUAGUUGAAUAUGCUGGAAAGCAUAGCCCUAGACGGUGAUAGCCCGGUAAACGAAAACGUUACGUCUUCUUUGUCUUUGUUCUUGAGUACUUCGAGACACGAAUAGCUCGGGGGAAUCUACCAGAACUAACUGGUAAGGCUAAAUACUCUUAGAAACCGAUAGUGAACUAGUACCGUGAGGGAAAGGUGAAAAGAACCCCGGUGAGGGGAGUGAAAUAGAACUGAAACCAUAUGCUUACAAGGAGUCGGAGCGGGCGCAUCACAUUGGGUGUGAUACGCGAGUCCAUAAAGUCCCAAAGUCAAAAGUCGAAAGUGGGUGCAUUUGCAUUUACUUUGGACUUUCAGACUUUUAACUUUUGACUUAAGCAUCGCGCGUAGCGUGAUGCGCCUGUGACGGCGUGCCUAUUGAAGAAUGAGCCAACGAGUUAAUGUAUACAGCGUGGCUAAGUCCUUGUCGGAUGGAGCCUUAGAGAAAUCGAGUGUGAAUAGCGCGUUUGUUGUAUGCAUUAGACCCGAAGCCAGAUGAGCUUACCAUGAGCAGGGUGAAGUUUGUAGAAAUACAGAUGGAGGCCCGAACCGGUUGGCCGUGCGACACCAUCGGAUGACUUGUGGUAAGGAGUGAAAAGCUAAUCGAAUCUGGUAAUAGCUGGUUCUCUCCGAAAUAUGUUUUGGCAUAGCGUCUGGCGUACCCUCUGGGGGUAGAGCACUGGAAGGGUUAAACAGGGAGCAAUCUCGUUAACCCUAUCAAACUCCGAAUACCAGAGAUUAAAUACCAGGCAGUAAGACUACGGGGGCGAAGCUCCGUCGGUCAAAAGGGAAACAGCCCUGAUCUCAAGUUAAGGUCCCAAAAUUUACGCUAAGUGCACUUAAGGAGGUGGAGUUUCUCAGACAGUGAGGAUGUUGGCUUAGAAGCAGCCAUCAUUUAAAGAAAGCGUAACAGCUCACUCACUAAGAGACUCUGCACCGAAGAUAAUCGGGGCUAAGCGUAGUACCGAAACUGAGGGUUCUCUCGUCUUUAGAGAUGGGGGAGCGGUAGGAGAGCGUUCAUGUCUGCGCUGAAGGAGAAGUGUGAGCAACUCUGGAGCGGCAUGAAGUGAGAAUGUUGGCACAAGUAACCACAAUGCGGGUGAGAUCCCCGCACGCCGUAAGAGCAAGGUUUCCUUUGCGAUGUUGAUCAGCGAAGGGUUAGUCGGGCCUAAGGUGAUAGCGAAAGCUGCAGCCGAUGGACACAGGGUUAAUAUUCCCUGACUUUUUAUUUGUGCGAUGGAGUGACGAAGGUUAGUAUGCGGUGCGCAUUAUUGGAUUUGCGUUUGUGUCAUCAGUGUGAUUCUUAGGUAAAUCCGGGAGUCUGGUUUUAAUACCGACCGCAAGUGAAGCAGAAAUGUCUGGGUUCGCCCAGUGCAGAUACCGCAAAGCAACUUUCCGAGAAAAGCUUCUAAGCAUAACAAAUAAAAAACCGUACCUAAAACCGACACAGGUGCUCGAGUCGAGUAGACUAAGGCGAACGAGUGAUUGCUUCUCAAGGAACUCGGCAAAAAAGCAGCCGUAACUUCGGGAUAAGGCUUGCCUCCACCACUUUGCGUUUAAAGUCGCAUCGAUAAAAUUACUUCAUUUGCAUCGUUGAGAAGAAUUUUUUCCUCCACGCAAUGUACACUUGUACAUCUUGGUCUUAAAAAA
RNAcentral lists this ribosomal RNA (2028 nucleotides) under bacterium. RNAcentral's name for it is "23S ribosomal RNA". It matches the Rfam family "Bacterial large subunit ribosomal RNA", at positions 1 to 1786 of the family's 2925-position model. The record is from RNAcentral.